UACGUAGGGUGCGAGCGUUAAUCGGAACUACUGGGCGUAAAGCGUGCGCAGGCGGUUUUGUAAGCCAGAUGUGAAAGCCCCGGGCUCAACCUGGGAAUGGCAUUUGGGACUGCAAGGCUUGAGUGCGGCAGAGGAGACUGGAAUUCCUGGUGUAGCAGUGAAAUGCGUAGAUAUCAGGAGGAAUACCGAUGGCGAAGGCAGGUCUCUGGGCUGACACUGACGCUCAUGCACGAAAGCGUGGGGAGCAAACAGG
RNAcentral lists this ribosomal RNA (253 nucleotides) under uncultured bacterium. RNAcentral describes it as "partial 16S ribosomal RNA". It matches the Rfam family "Bacterial small subunit ribosomal RNA", at positions 524 to 776 of the family's 1533-position model. The record is from RNAcentral.